UAUACAUCUUAUGGGAGACCUUGUUAACUCUGCAAUUGCUUAAAACUCCCCCACUGCUUUGCCGUUUCAGUACAAACUCUGUUGCAACUGCUAUAUAAUUCUGAAUCUGUGAAGGUAUAAUGUAUAUCCUCUUGCUCUCAACCCUUUUUCUCAGUUUUUAUAUUUCAUUGUCUCUUUCUCAAAUCCAAUUGUCGGAAAUUGCUUUGCAUAUUCUUCCACCUCCUUGCGCAGCUCUGCAAUCUCAGACUGGAUACUAGCAUUCGUCUGGAUAGUAGCCGUGAAGUCUUUCAAUUUUGUCCCACCUGUGGUUUCAGCCUUUACUUUCAGUGCCAGUUUAACAGCAACGUCAAAGAAGUCCGCAACUUUUGCGAAGUCCUCUUCAAUAAAUCCCCUCGAUGUAAGGGCCGGAGUCCCCAUUCUGAUGCCUCCAGGGAUCAUGGCAGACACGUCGCCUGGAACUGUAUUUUUAUUAGCGGCAAUGUGGACCAACUCCAAGACCUUUUCG
Molecule: unclassified non-coding RNA, 505 nt
Filed under: Hevea brasiliensis (rubber tree)
Lineage: Eukaryota; Viridiplantae; Streptophyta; Magnoliopsida; Malpighiales; Euphorbiaceae
Source: RNAcentral